UACGGGGGGAGCAAGCGUUGUUCGGAUUUACUGGGCGUAAAGGGCGCGUAGGCGGCCAGCGCAAGUCAGUUGUGAAAUCUCCGAGCUUAACUCGGAAAGGUCAACUGAUACUGCGCGGCUAGAGUGCAGAAGGGGCAACUGGAAUUCUUGGUGUAGCGGUGAAAUGCGUAGAUAUCAAGAGGAACACCUGCGGCGAAGGCGGGUUGCUGGGCUGACACUGACGCUGAGGCGCGAAAGCCAGGGGAGCGAACGGG
RNAcentral lists this ribosomal RNA (254 nucleotides) under uncultured bacterium. RNAcentral describes it as "partial 16S ribosomal RNA". It matches the Rfam family "Bacterial small subunit ribosomal RNA", at positions 524 to 776 of the family's 1533-position model. The record is from RNAcentral.